CUAUAUUUUAUAUGGGACGUUGAGCACGAUGCCAUCAUAAAGAAGAUAUACGACCAUCGAAUGGGUUGGCGGCUGUAGAAGAUGCUGGAGGAUGUUCAUGAGGGGCGGGACCACCUCGCGACCUGGCUCUGCCCAGAAAUAAAGAAGGCUCUGUUAGUUACGUUCACUGGGAGACCGAUGAGGGGUUCAGGCAUCAGCGUCUCACAAACAGAGCUAACAGGGCAUCGGCCAGGUCUUCAAGUAUACCGGUGGCUCAGCGACCAUCAUGAAGACUAAGGCCAGGCUGUCAAAGUCGUUGGAUCGCGAGGCGACAUUGGCGGAGACGUUCAAGUACACCCACACGUUGAAGGAAAACAAAGCGAGAUUUGCUGAUCAGCGGUCUCAGGAUCAUUAUGAGUCCUACACGCAGAGACUAGAGGCUGCAACUCAGCAAUCAUAGAAAAGUAGGGAGGACGUCGAUAGCUCUGCUGCUUUAGUCGUUGAUCCUGAUGCAGUUUGGCACGAGACCGCCUCAGCGCUGUACAAGAACCACAUAUACGGGCUAAGGUCGUUCUUUGCUAGCAGCCUUUGCACCUGCACGUUGAGG
Arachis ipaensis is the source of this 586-nucleotide non-coding RNA. Lineage: Eukaryota; Viridiplantae; Streptophyta; Magnoliopsida; Fabales; Fabaceae. The record is from RefSeq and is a predicted model, not a curated record.